This 335-nucleotide long non-coding RNA is filed under the name Lupinus angustifolius (narrow-leaved blue lupine). RNAcentral describes it as "long non-coding RNA (LANG_LNC003186)". Lineage: Eukaryota; Viridiplantae; Streptophyta; Magnoliopsida; Fabales; Fabaceae. The record is from RNAcentral.
UCUAUUUAUAGGCUUCACAUCCAGACUGCUGAGCUGGACCACUCAGUAGCUGACCAAACCCUUCAACAUGAGUUUGGUCCAUUGACCAACUAGCUUAGUCACCUCCUUGUGCAUGACUCACCAAAGCUAGUUGUGGGCUAUGAAACCAGCUAUUGUGAGCUACUUCUAAAAAGCCUAUGGUGGGCUACUUGAGGUGAGGUCAUGGAUGACUUCAUGGUUUGAAUGAUGGUUAAGUCAAGUCUGGUAAGCACUGCCCAGCGCACCUACUUCACCAUUGAGCUGCUUGUUCAGCAGCUUCUGACCGUGUUGACUGGGACGUGGCUUGGUGCUUGCUG